UUGCAUCUGAAAAUUUCUGGCUGGUUUCAGCCACCCCCAUUGUUUCAUUUAAUCGCACAACUUCAUUGAUAUUCUCAAUGCCUUUGAAAAGUUUGGAGACAUCACUGCUAAGUACAUCAGAAUCCAUAGCAGCUGCUUUCUUCACAUUUGUGAGCUCUGAGCUUAGACCAGAAACAACUUGCAGGCCAAGUUUUCUACACUUAGCAUCUUCAAUUGAAGUGGAGUUUGGAGUUUGGUUGGCACCCGAAAAUCGAGCACCUUCAGCUCUUAUAAUUUCCUGUACAACAAAAUGCA
RNAcentral lists this unclassified non-coding RNA (294 nucleotides) under Hevea brasiliensis (rubber tree). The record is from RNAcentral. Lineage: Eukaryota; Viridiplantae; Streptophyta; Magnoliopsida; Malpighiales; Euphorbiaceae.